This 330-nucleotide ribosomal RNA is filed under the name uncultured eukaryote. RNAcentral describes it as "partial 18S ribosomal RNA". It matches the Rfam family "Eukaryotic small subunit ribosomal RNA", at positions 1470 to 1796 of the family's 1831-position model. The record is from RNAcentral.
CCCUUAGAUGUUCUGGGCCGCACGCGCGCUACACUGAUGACGGCAACGAGUCGAUUCGAUCCUGAACCGGCGGGUUUGGGUAAUCUUUUCAAACGUCAUCGUGCUGGGGAUAGAUGCUUGUAAUUUUUCAUCUUAAACGAGGAAUUUCUAGUAAGCGUAAGUCAUCAUCUUACGUUGAUUACGUCCCUGCCCUUUGUACACACCGCCCGUCGCUCCUACCGAUUGAAUGGUUCGGUGAAAUCCCCGGACUGCAGCCUUGACACCCUCGGGUGACUCGGCAGUGGAAAGCGGAUUAAACCUCGCCAUUUAGAGGAAGGUGAANUCGUANCA